UUCAGUGCAGAUGUGAAGGUUAACAUUUUCCAGCGGGGUGGUGGUGCAGCGGGGCUGCCGCUGUGUGUGUGUGCACCGGUGGCCUCCCUGGUCUUUGAUGUGGGAGUGGGCACGUUUGAACUGCACAUAAGCACACAGCCAAGACAACGCAGGAGUGGCUUCGGGAGAAGUCUCUGAAUGUCCUUGAGUGAACCAGCCAGACCCCGGACUUGAACCCGAUCGAUCGAACAUCUCUGGAGAUACCUGAAAAUAGAUGUUCAGCGACACUCCCCAUCCAACCUGACAGAGCUUGAGAGGAUCUGCAGAGAAUGGGAGAAACUCCCCAAAUACAGAUCUAUCCGCUGCCUUCGACACUGUGAACCAUCGGAUCCUCCACCGUCACAGAGCUGGGCAUCUCAGGCUUUGCACAAUGUUGGAUUGCAUCCUACCGGACAGGCCGCUAGUACCAGGUAGCGACACAAGUCUCGACAAGACGGAGCUCCUCUUCCUCCCGGGGAAGGCCUGCCUCCACUAAGACCUCUCUCUCCAUCACGGUUGACAACUCCACAGUGUCCACUUCCCAGAAUGCAAAGAGCUUUGGCGUGACCCUGGACAACAAACACUCUGUGGUUCUCUGCAAACAUCAAAGCAGUGACUCACUCCUUUAGGGUCAUGCACCACAACAUCCAUAGAGCACAACCCUACCUCACACAGGAAGCUGCACAGGUCCUAAUCCAGGCACGUCAUCACCAGCCUGGACUAGAAGUUCUCCCAUGUCACACGCUACUCUACACACUCCACUGGCAUCCAGUUGAAACUUUGAAAGUUCUUGAAAUUUUCCGAAUUGACUGACCAUGUAUAAAAGUAAUGAUGGACUGUCAUUUCUUUCUGCUUAUUUGAGCUGUUCUUGCCAUAAUAUGGACUUGAUCUUUUACCAAAUAUGGCUAUCUUCUGUAUACCACCCCUACCUUGUCACAACACAACUGAUUGGCUCAAAUGCAUUAAGAAGGAAAGAAAUUCCACAAAUGAACUUUUAACAAGGUAUACCUAUUAAUUGAAAUGCAUUCCAGGUGACUACCUCAUGAAGCUGGUUGAGAGAAUGCCAAGAGUGUGCAAAGCUGUCAUCAAGGCAAAGGGUGACUACUUUGAAGAAUCUCAAAUCUAAAAUAUACUUUUUUGGUUACUA
Molecule: long non-coding RNA, 1165 nt
Organism: Oncorhynchus nerka (sockeye salmon)
Lineage: Eukaryota; Metazoa; Chordata; Actinopteri; Salmoniformes; Salmonidae
Exons: 3
Source: RefSeq, a predicted model, not a curated record